RNAcentral lists this ribosomal RNA (274 nucleotides) under uncultured bacterium. RNAcentral describes it as "partial 16S ribosomal RNA". It matches the Rfam family "Bacterial small subunit ribosomal RNA", at positions 523 to 796 of the family's 1533-position model. The record is from RNAcentral.
AUACGGAGGGAGCAAGCGUUAUUCGGAAUCACUGGGCGUAAAGGACGCGUAGGCGGGUUUGUAAGUCAGGUGUGAAAUCCUACAGCUCAACUGUAGAACUGCACUUGAAACUACAGACCUAGAGUAUGGAAGGGGCAGAUGGAAUUAGUGGUGUAGGGGUAAAAUCCGUAGAUAUCACUAGGAAUACCGAAAGCGAAGGCGAUCUGCUGGGACAUUACUGACGCUGAGGCGUGAAAGCGAGGGGAGCAAACAGGAUUAGAAACCCCAGUAGUCC